AGCCACACUCCAGCCCUGGGGAAGUCCUCCCUGGGGUCUGACCACCAUCUUCACCGCUGCAAAAGGUACUUACGAAGCAGAUGCCUGCUUGCCGGCGCGGCACCAGCGUGCACACGUUCACGCGGCGGCGGCACAGGGCCUUCACCAUCCAGCCACAGGACGGGCCUUGGCGCUGUGCUGCGCUGGGAACAGGCUCGGAGGGCGCCCACUGCGGGUUCCCCAGGGUGCCGCCGUCCGGCCCCUUCUGCACCCCGGGGCCUCUGCCCCCGCUGCUCGGGCUCCCUCCCGUGCUCUCAGGCCCACCUGGAUCACCACGAUGUCGUUGAGCAGCCGCCUGGGGUCGAAGCCGUUCUCGAAGAUCCGCUGCACGGAGAAGGUCUGCCGAGUGGGCUCCCGGCGCCGCAGGUUGUGGACUCCCAGGACCACCUGCACCAACCGGAAGUUCCUGGGGGCAGUGGAGGUGGGGGAGGAGGGUGCGUGGGAACGGCCACCCGUGCACCCGGUGUGGCCCACGUGGACGCCGAGGGCUGGGAGGGGAAGGAGGGGCGGAGGGGGGACUCACAGGCCGUUCACACAGUGAGCCGCUGACAUGACGAAGUUCCUGGCGAUGAGCGUGGCGCCGCAGAAGUGACCCCCACGCAGCUGCAGGGACGCCAUGAAGGGCCAAGCAUGGGGCCGGGCUGGCCGGCCACCCACAAUCUCUGAGGCCAGCGUCGGGCCUGGGGACGCACAGGGAGGAAGAGUGAGCCCCAGGCUGCUUGGACCCUCGAUGAGGGAAACUGAGGCACAGAGAGGCCCGGGGACCUUGCCCAGGGUACUCCUGGACUUGAGUCCCUGGUGAGUCCCCCAGCCUUAGAACCCCGGUGUCCUGACAGUGUCUUUCUCCGAGGUCCUGAGGGAUGUGGAAAGACAAUGGAUGUGGGUCCGCGCGCACUCACCACCCAGGAGCAAGGCCAGCAGCACGGGAGCCAGGGGCCAGCGGGACGGUGGGCUGAGGGCCAUGGCAGGCCGUGCUCUCCUGGCUCCCGCACCCCUACCUAACAGCCGUACUUAUAGCUGGAACCACAGGCCGUUGUAUUGCCCCAUGCUGGCCACAGCCCCACUUCCUCCCUGGCGACAGGGGGUGUGGGGGGGUCCACGGCCCCUCAGGGUUCCCACCUCAACUGCAUCCACGCUGCUGAUGUCAAGGAAAACUCAGCAAGCUGAGGGUUUCCCUUUCUUUCCUUUUCUUUCUCUCUCUCUUGCUUUCUUUCUUCCUUUCUUUUUCUUUUUUUUCUAAGAGGAUGUCAGGGCAGAAUGAUGGUGGUCGCUCACCCCUUUAAUCCCAGUACUUGGGAGGCAGAGGCAGGUGGAGCUUUGUAAGGCCAGACUGGUCUACAGAGUGAGUUCCAGGACAGCCAGGGACACACAGAGAAACCCUGUGUUGAAAAGGCAAGAAUUAAAUGAAAUAAGAUCUCAGGUAGCCCAGGCUAGCCUCGAAGUCUUAAUCCUACUGCUUUCCCUUCCCCCUUCCGAGUGCUGAGGUGACAGGGGUGCCACCUCCGUGCUAUAUCCAGCAACUUAUAUCUGAGGGCCAGGCCCUGUGCCUCAGUUUACCUCAGACAUAGCAAUAACAGCAACAGGUAAGUGUAUUGAGUUGUCACGGGGUGUGGUGCGAGCCUGACUUUUUCCUGGGGUGACAGGGAAUGGCUGGAUUCCCACUCGAGGCAGAACAUAUGGGGGAUGUGGGGGGGAUGUGGGGGCCGUGCCCACCAAGUGGCAGCUUAGUGUGUGUGUGCGAACAUGCACGCAAGCAUGCGUGUGCAUGUGUUCGAAUGUGUGUGUGUGUGUGUGUGUGUGCCAUGUAGCCCAGGCUGGCCUGGAACCCGCAGGGACCCGCCUGCCUCUGUGUCCUCAGUGCCGGGACUACAGGAGUGCUCCACCACGCUCAGCACGGCAGGGCGUGUGAAGCUGGGUCAGGGUGAUACAGCACAGUGCAGCCCCUGAGCCCUGAUUUGCUGGUUCUCCCCACGGCAGAACUCAGGCCCACCUGAUGGCGUCAGUGCCUGGGCACCCGUGAGAGGGACCUGGCCUCGGCGGGGCCAGAGUGUGGGUUCCCAUCUGGACCCACAGAGUCUCCUCCUACAACAGAGACAGGGCCUGACCCGGGACCCAGCCCCCCACUCUGUGGCCAGCUCCCUCCCGUCUCUCCCAGGAGCCCCAGCCAGGGCUGUUGCAAACCAACUGUCUCAUCUCCAGGACAGGGCAUGGGGUGGGGUGGGAUCCAACGGACAUGAGCAGGCGGGCAGGAUGCCAGCGCCAGCAAACAAAGCUUCAGAUGAGGAGGCCAGACUUAACCACAGCUGCACUUACUGAGCACCGCCUGUAUACCAUGCUGUCCAGUACCAUAGUCCAGGUCCUGAACUAACCCUUCUGUUAUGUUUUAUUAUUUUUUAAUGUACAUUUUGCCUGCAUGUAUGUCUGUGUGAGGGUGUCGGAUCUCCUGGAACAGGAGUUUCAGACAGUUGUAAACUGCCACGUGGGUGCUCGGACUUGAACCUAGGUCCUCAGUGCUCUUAGCGGCUGAGCUAUCUCUCCAGCCCGCUCAAGUUCUUUCCUGACCUCCGUUUAGUGCCUCCGGAUUCCCAGCAUCCCCCCCCACACACAAACGCAGUUCCCACACAGCGGUGAGACACUGGGGACGGCUCAGCGGGCGUUGGGAGGACUGAAAGCAGCCUGGGGCCAGAGUUCAGUGGGCAGCGAGCUCGCCUGGUGUGCACCCAGCCUUGGCAUCCAGCCCAGCGCCAUGGGACCAGCUGUGAUGGUCCACUUGCGUCGUCCCAGCACGCGGGAGGCGGAGGAGCCAGGGUUCUAGGCCAGCUUCGGCUACAUAGGGAGUGAGAGGCUAGCCUGGGCUAUGUGAGAUUGUCUCCCCAAAACCAGAACACGGUUAGAGAAGGAAUAAACCUGUAGACUCUGUCUGGCGCCUGCUGGACUAGACACAGCGCCGCCUGGUGGCGGCGUCGAAAGAAGCCAGCCAGCGAGCACCGCGUCUCACUUCGGAAGAUCCUGCGGCGAGUCCGCCCCUCCUUCACUUCCUCCCUCCUCCCGGGCUGGCUUUGGACCUCCUUCCCUUCUCGGAUGGCUCCAGCUCCUUUCUCUACGGCUGGGGAGAGCGGGGCGCUUCCACGUCCGCCCCUCCCGGGAGCAGAGCUGCUCGCUCUUCUGCCCUCCCCGCAGUCCCGCUGCCGUCCACCCUGCCUGUUGCUUUGGCUGCAUCAGGCCCCGAGGCGCCCAGUGCCCGCCCAAGCCGUAGAGAGAGCCCGGUCCUCAGGAAACCUGGAGCUGGGGGACACUUCACCGAACCCCGCCCGCCACAGGAGAGUUGGGUAGGCCGUCUGGCGCGCAGAAGGGCGGCUCAGGGCCCUGCGCCCCGCAGGACAGAGUGAAUCCAGUCCACAUACAAGGACACCCGGGCGAAGAAAUCCGGGAACUGGAGGGAGGCGCAUUCUCGGAUCACGAAGGAGUCGACCCCCUGAAGGACGCCAUCGCAGAUCAAGGGGCCGCCCGAGUCUCCCUGAGGAAGGAGACCACCGUGACGUUCAGUUCCUGCAGCACACGCGGCGUGGGCGCGCUGGUGCCCAGGCGGCCCCAGCCCAUGGCCAGGCACUGGGUGCCCUGGGGCAAAGACUGGUUCUGCUGAGGCAGAGAGGCCACGGCCACCUGCUGGCCUAGGAAGGCUGGCCGGUUCAGCUGCAGCAAAAGAGGGGGGAAAAGACGUGAGGACUCGGCCCCCCGGGGACCUGACAUCUCCUGAGCUCCCUCCAUUGACUCCGCUCCUGACCCCUUGAACUCAAACCCUAACCCUGACUCGGCCGUCCCCGUGGCCUAGCCUGAGCCGUAAGCCUCGGGGCCUAUGUCUGACAGGAGCCAGCCUGGUCAGACGCUGACCUACAGGCCGCAGUCCACGCUGUGACAGCUCCGCAUUCGCACGGGAGGUGCUCCCCAAGCGUCUCCUGCCCGCGCGGACCCCAGUCCCCACCGACCUGAGCCAGGAGCACGUCGUUGAGGUUCUCCUCGGAGUUGUAGUUGUUCUGGAAGACCUGAGUGAUGGUGAACCUCUGCUGCUCGGGCUCGAGCCUCUGCAGGUCGUGGGCACCCAGCACCACCGUCACCAGCUGCCAGGGGCUGCCGUUAAGGUUGUGGGGUGUUGGUUGAGGCAGGGGGAGGGAUGGAACCCCGGUCCUCUCACAUGCUAGCAAGGGCUCUACCCCUGGGAGGGGCUACCCCGACCACGCCCCUGGCCCUUCCCGAGUUGGAUUCUAGGCGCUCAGGGGGUUGGGGGGUGGAGGAAGAGAGAGAGAGAGAGAGAGAGAGAGAGAGAGAGAGAGAGAGAGAGAGAGAGCGCACACUGUGGUGGUGAUCUGGAGAAGACUUUGGGAAGAGCUGCUGGCCGGGGAGGAGACUGAGGAGCCUGUGCUGGCGGCUCAGACGCGCCGCCCCUCGCUGUCCCCUGUACUCACAUGUCCUCCAGGCAGUGGGCAGCCGUCAGCACGAAUCUAGGAUGGAUCAGCGUGCCACCACAGAAGUGGCUCCCGGGGAGCCUGGUCAGCUGCAGGGAGGCCGCAUAAGGCCGAGAAUGGGGCUGAGCCUCGCGCCCACCCACGAUCUGGGCGGCCUGAACAGCUCCUGGGGGAGACACGCGUCAGGACGGCAGCCUGGCAGCCUGAAUACUCCGGCCCUGAGAGCCACAGUGUGUUCUAGCUAUGGCUUCAAGGAUACCUGUGCCUGGGAGGAGUUAGGAGCUGGCUUGAAUCUAUGCUUAUUAUUUUUGUUGUUUUGAGAUAGUGUCCAAAGCUGUGGUCCAGGCUGGGCUUGAACACGUGUAGAUCUACCUGACUCUGCCUCCCAAGCGCUGGCAUUAAAGAUGUACACCAUUAAA
This is a long non-coding RNA of Meriones unguiculatus (Mongolian gerbil), 4921 nucleotides long. RefSeq lists it as uncharacterized. The record is from RefSeq and is a predicted model, not a curated record. The transcript has 4 exons. Lineage: Eukaryota; Metazoa; Chordata; Mammalia; Rodentia; Muridae.